CCUACGGGUGGCUGCAGUGGGGAAUAUUGCACAAUGGGCGAAAGCCUGAUGCAGCCAUGCCGCGUGUGUGAAGAAGGCCUUCGGGUUGUAAAGCACUUUCAGCGGGGAGGAAGGCGUUAAGGUUAAUAACCUUGUCGAUUGACGUUACCCGCAGAAGAAGCACCGGCUAACUCCGUGCCAGCAGCCGCGGUAAUACGGAGGGUGCAAGCGUUAAUCGGAAUUACUGGGCGUAAAGCGCACGCAGGCGGUCUGUCAAGUCGGAUGUGAAAGCCCCGGGCUCAACCUGGGAACUGCAUUCGAAACGGGCAGGCUAGAGUCUUGUAGAGGGGGGUAGAAUUCCAGGUGUAGCGGUGAAAUGCGUAGAGAUCUGGAGGAAUACCGGUGGCGAAGGCGGCCCCCUGGACAAAGACUGACGCUCAGGUGCGAAAGCGUGGGGAGCAAACAGGAUUAGAUACCCGAGUAGUC
RNAcentral lists this ribosomal RNA (465 nucleotides) under uncultured Klebsiella sp. Its description in RNAcentral is "bacterial SSU rRNA". It matches the Rfam family "Bacterial small subunit ribosomal RNA", at positions 338 to 795 of the family's 1533-position model. The record is from RNAcentral. Lineage: Bacteria; Pseudomonadati; Pseudomonadota; Gammaproteobacteria; Enterobacterales; Enterobacteriaceae.